AGCUGUCAUAGGAUGAUCCCUAGAAUGGGGUGGUGGGAGCCGAUCUGCGUCUAAUUCUUGAUAACAAGCCUCACAUAAGUCAAAAUCAGGACAGACGGUACAAUGCCAUCUUCGCCUGAGUAUGGAACGGUGGAGCAUCCAUCACAACAAUAUUGAACAGAUGAUGUAAUAGAAUCUUCUUCAAUCAUGACUUGUGUGUUUCCACUAGUUGCCUCGGCAGAACCAGAAGCUGAAACAGCACUAUCCACAGCAUCAUCUGUUGCUAACAUUGUUUGCUUCGGGAAUGGAACCUGGAGUAAU
This 300-nucleotide unclassified non-coding RNA is filed under the name Hevea brasiliensis (rubber tree). Lineage: Eukaryota; Viridiplantae; Streptophyta; Magnoliopsida; Malpighiales; Euphorbiaceae. The record is from RNAcentral.